Long non-coding RNA from Dreissena polymorpha, 3036 nucleotides. RefSeq lists it as uncharacterized. Lineage: Eukaryota; Metazoa; Mollusca; Bivalvia; Myida; Dreissenidae. The transcript has 3 exons. The record is from RefSeq and is a predicted model, not a curated record.
CCCCGUUUCAUCAAAAUUUGCGAUGCGAUAUUAUCGCCGAUCGCCGAUUGCUGAUCUUUUACCUGCGAUUGCGAUAUUUUUUAAAAAGCGUUUCAUCAAACAUAUCGCAGAUUCUUGCCGGUAGUUUGCCGGUAGUUUAGUGCUAUGAGCGAUAAUCGCUCACAGUCUACUAUCAAAAUGACGUAAAAAACGGGCACCUGCUGAAUCUCGCGCCACCUGUCAUAUUUGACAGACGAUCAAACAACAACAAUGGCAGAUCUCGUAGAGAAUAGGAGCGCCUCUUGGCAGCCAAGAGAACUCUAGGAACUGCUCGAGGGCGUCCAACAAAAUUAUGAAGUGUUGUGGGGCAAAUUGUCCGGCACAUUAUCAAAGAAAGACAAAGACCGUGCAUGGUCGGACAUCGUCCAAUCAAUAAAUUCCGUAGGGGGGAACGAGAGGAACGUAGAAGAUUCAAUGAAAAAGUGGUGUGAUUGGAAGAUUGUGAUUGUCAUCAGGAAAUGAUUGACAUAUCUCGGCAAAUGCUAGAGGAGAGUGUAAAGCGGAAUGAAAUACUGCAGGACAUAAGUUCAACACUAAAAUUAACAGCUGGCAAAGCUUUCCUGGACAACUUGUUGGAUCCCACAAAUUUUUAAAAGCGGGGGCCAUAGACAAAACUAGUCUAUAAAAUGAGUGUUAAUUAUGUUUAAAGAAAUAACACACCAUGAUAUACAUUUUGCUGUUAUUUCUACCUUGUUUAAAGGGACCUAUUCACAGAUUUAUGCAACUACUGAAGUUUGUCAUUAAAUGCUUUAAAUUAAUAAAUGUAAACAUUGGAACUAAAUAGCUCCAUAAAAAAGUGAAUACAUGUACAAUUAAAGAAAAAAAGUUAAACUCAACUGGGCUCGAACCACUGACCCUUGGAAUAAGAGUCUAGCAUUUUAGACCACUCGUUCAUCCAUGCUAUUACAGUGAGUGGUAUAUGUUAUACAUGUACUUCAUAUAAAAAAUCCUUGUAGUGUCACAAAAUAUAACGAUAACAACAGAACUUUCCAAAUUAUUCAAUCAUUUUGCAUUUGUAAUGCUGUAUUAUUUUCAGGUUAUUAAAUUGUCAAAAGAUGCAUAUACCGGAUAUUUUGGAGCAUGGUAAAUGUUCAGAAUUACUGUUAUUCUUAUUUGUAAAUGCUAUAAACAUAACUAUCAUAUUGUUUUAAUGUUGUACACAAUGUUUAUAAGUUAAUCUCAUGUAUAAACUUAAUUGUUUUGUCUCUUUUAACUGUACAGUACAUUGUUUUACUGUUAAAUUUUUAUGUGGCCCUAUAAAGGUGACCGUUUGGCGACAAAAUAUUCAUUACCCCUAUCCUGUAAAUAUUAUUUUUAAAUUUCCUUUUAGAUAUUGUCAUAACGCCACCCUGGGAGGUAAUCGCUUCUCAAUAGCCCUAUAUCCUUUAAGGUACUUUACAGACAGGGUCUUAGGUUGCAAGAGUUCAACAUUUGCUGUCACACUCAAAUAUAUUCCAAAAUAAAAUAAAAAUGCAAUUAUACAUCAUAUUUUCAUAUAAAUGUGCAAUCCUUUAAAAACAUAGAGCUAAUUAAGUAAGAUCCAGCUUCUCAACCAAUUAAUGUCCAACAAGUUGUAUAUUUUCCCAUUGUUUAAUAUUAAUAAUAAUAACAUUUUAUUACUAUAGUGCAAGACAUGUGUUUCUUUCAAUUGUCCAUUUCCAUAUUCUUUAUAUAACACUCAUUCCUUUAAAAGUGCAAUAAUGUUUACAUCCUAAAUGAAAAGGCGUGUGAACUAGGUCAUGGUUCAAUUUCGACCAAUCAGCGCCAACUUUUAUGGUCAAUGCCGUUUUAGCAAGUGGGGUAAAACCAGUACUUACCGAAACCGCCCUUAUAGUAUUCAAUGCAUUCUUAUGUAUAUAACGCUUUUUAACAUUUUAGUUAAAUGUAAAUGCGAUGUUAGGUAAGCACAGAUUUUUAUGCCCCCCCUUCGAAGAAUAAACUGAGUAUGUUUUAAAAUGAUGUAUGUAUAUUUUUAAAUGUUGGACUUUUGUUGGAAAUGUUGGAAAUAAAGUGUGUAUACUUUGUAAAUAAACUGUAGUAGUAGAAACAAAUGACUUAUUUAAUUUCUACUAGCUCGGCUAGUUGUACAAGUUACAUGGAAAUUUGUCUAAAUGGACUGGUGGCAGCACCCGUAAAUAAGACCACAGGUUCUUGACUAAAUUAAAAUUUAGUGUAGAUAAUUUGUGCAAAGUUUAACUUUGAUUGCUUCCGUCGAAGUUCAAAUUUUGCGACACUACUGAUUGAAUUCGAGCCUGGACAACAUGUUGAAUGUUAACGAUUCACCAAGAAAUACUUUGACAUACUUUUUAAGCAUAUAUAACCUACAUUCGAAUUUGAUCUAUAUAAACUUGAUGCAAAUCCUAAAUAAGAUUGGGGAAGAUUGGAUGAAUAUUGUUCGAAUUAGAGCUGAACAACAUGCUGAAUGCUGAAAAUGCACUAAGUGACCAUAUGACCUAGUAUUUAACACUACAUGACCCAUAUUUGAAACUGGCCUAUAUAUCAUCCAAAUUCAACUUUUGACAAAGAUUGGUGAAGAUCAGAUGAAUACUGUUUAACAUAACAUGUUCCUUUUUCCAAAGGGGCAUAUAGAAAUCAAAUAAAACAACAAAUUAUAAACUAAAUGAUCUAUUUAUUGGCUGCUACUAUACUUCCUCCAAAACAAGUAUCAACAAGAAUACGUCUCAGAUAUAACAUCCAACGACAUGAGUGAAUUAUGUAGAAUGCGUAUGAACAUGUGGUGAACAAAAAUGAGAAAUCAGUGCUUAAUGUAUGAUUGGUUUGCAUUUUAUCAUUUGUUUAAAUAAAAUGGUAGUUAAUAUUUUCCUUUCCAAGUACAGCCACAUAUAAUGAUAUCAAAAUUCAACAAUGUUUACAUUUAAAAUUCAACAUAAUCACGAAGAGUACACAAUGCACAGAAUGUAUUAAAUACAUAUAUGUUAAUGUGCAGACAAAAUAACAAUUAACAAAUAUGUAUAAAAAAAAAAACAUUAAGAAAAA